UAUUUUUUAAUAUCUUUUGGAAAAUUCUCUUAGAAAUAUAUAUAAGGUAUUCUCCGGGUAAUUCAAAUCGAAGUAAUUUGAUGUCUGACUCAGGCCUAUAUGACCGAUCGAUAGAGAUACUCUAACACUCCACCUUCGUCAUAUAUUCCAUAUAUCACAUUAGAUAGAUAUUAUAUUCAUGAAAUACGAUUCACUUUCAAAAUGCCUUGAUGGUAGAUGAUGAUGCUAGAACUUAGAAUCUACUUUCAGUACAAUAUUAUCUUAAAAAUCGAUCUAAUAAACAAUAGACAAAAAAUAUAUUUAACAUAAAUAAUUUUAGCUAAUUAUAUUAGCAAGAUAAAGCCUUUUGCUCUAUCAAAUUUACUCGUUUGAGUUAUAAACUUAGUAAAAUUUUUUAGUUUAACUAACUAGAAUAACUUAGAUUAAAAAGAUAAAAACUAGAAGAGUCUCAAUAAAGAAGAGGGUAAAGAGCUGAGGGGCGUUUUCAAAAUCGACUAAUGUUGAGGGGUUCUCCAUUUAUUUUUAACAAUUAAGAUUGACCUUAUUAACAGAGUAUUUUGAUUAAUAAUUAAGAAGUUCAAAUUUGCAAUAUGAAAUAUAUCAAUUUAAUGAAAUAUGAAUUUUUUCUCAAACUCGAUGAAGUUGAAAACUUUGUUAAAUUUAACCACUCCUACAGAGAUUAAUUAUUUUAUUAUUUUAACUUAUUUUGCUAAGAAAUAAUUGGCGUGACUAAGUUGGAUAGAAUUAUGAAUAAAUUUGAUAAGAAUCCUAAUUUAUAUGACUAAAAUUAAUUAAUUUUAACAUAAUAAAAGAAUUUUAAAAAAGUGUUAGUAAACAAAUUUAUAAAUCCAGGGUUGUUUCAAAAUUUUCUAUAGUUGAGGGGUGCUUCAAGUGUUUUUGCCAAUUUAAAUAUUUAAUUUGACCUCUUUAGCCGCGUACUCUGAUUGACUUGAAAAACCAAGAGCCGGCGAAGAACGCGAGUUUUCCGCUGGACCGGGGCCACGAAUUGGGGAAAUCGUUCCAUGGACCGCAUCCAUGGACCGCCGUCUAUGGACAACUACUUCACGGGGACCCAUCAUCAUCAGGAUUCAGGAGAAAUGGUUACAAGUCUCUGAUAAUAAAAUGCUGCGUUAGUGUUGACACCUAAUUUUUAGAUCGAGACGUGAACGAACGAAUUCGGAGAAAACACGUGGGGAUCGCCGAAAAAAGGAUUUGGUAAAGGGGUUUUGCUUUGGUUAAGAUUUUGAAAAAAAAAAAAAAGAUUUUGAAAUGAGACAUACCGAAGAUCAUUGCAGUAAAAGCUUCAGCAACGCUUAACAAUUCGAGUUAGGAUCGCCUGAGAAGUUUUUUUUUUUAAAAAUAAAUAGAAAAUGCCCGAAAAGUCUACAAAAAGAUGCACAAUUAGGAAAUACUUAAGAACGUAUUUGGUUUUAUCUUACCAGGAUUACUAUAUUUGAUUCAUACACUCUGUGAUCUGGUCAUUAAUGUAACAUUUCAGAGAUGAGGAUUACUUUAAUAACAUUACCGAACAGAAAUGAUUUUUUUGUUUUACUGAUUACUGGUUAUCUUGUAUGUUACUUAAAAUUACAAGUUUCUCCCUCAAAUUUCUCAAAUAAUUUGAUUCAAAAAUCUCAGAUUUUGAUUUAGAAAUCUUAGAAAUUUAAUUAUAUCAAAAAAAUCUAUAAUAUUAUAUAAUGCGAAUCAAAUGGGUCCGCCCCUAUAAAUAAAGCGAGUUAUCUCGCGAAAAUCAUUCUGACUACAGCUAAUUCCUCAUUACAACUCAUUAAGGCUACUCCGCAUGCGAGACGAAGUGUACAAAUCGUAGAGCGACAUGUGUCCAACCAGCAGUUAACCCUCGAAUACUUAACGUACCGUUUGGUUCGGGUAUAAACAAGAACUAGCUAUUACAGGGAUAGGUACAAGUAUGGGAAUAGGAAAAAUAGCGUUUGGAUGAAAAUUGGGUUGUUCCCGAGGAUAAGAAAAAUAUUAGGAAGUGUUAUAUAGAAAAUGGAGGUGUUGGUGGGGAUAACCGAGAACUACUAUUCUCGAGUAAAAAAUUAGCGUUUGGGUAUAAAGGGGGGGAUAAGGGCCUAUUCCUAUCCCUAUUCCCUAAAUAUAUAUAUUUAAUUAAUAAAGAAUAAUAUUUUGAAUAUUUUUUAUAUUCAUUAGUUUCUUAUGUUUGAGUCGAAGGCUUUUCAUAAACUCUAAAAUUCCGAUGAGAUUCGAACACAAAACUUUCUUACUCUUCUGUAUCAAGUAAAACAAGUAUGUAGAAAUUGAGAGAUGAGGAGCACUGCAAUCAACAUAUUUAGAAUAGAUAUUAUAUUUGGUCUUCAAUUUUUCGAAAUGAGAUAAAUUGUCUCGUAAGUGAAAUAUAUUAUCUUACAAAAUCACAUAAUAUCAAAGCAUAUUAGGAAGCCAAAAAAAAAAUCCUUUCAAUCAUACAAAAAUAUUGCUAUAUCAAAUAAACUAUCACUGAAUAACUUAUUCUGACACUUAAACAAGAUCUGAAAAUUUAAGCGAUUAGAAAAAUAUAAUUUUUAACAUUUUAUAGUCAAUAUUAUAUAAGAUAAAGAUUUAUUUUGAUUGGUUUAUAUAAGCAAUCUUCUUAAAUAGAUAAAACUAUCAUAACAAUGUAAAAAAGAAAUCCUAAAAAAUUUUAUUGAGCGAUUUUGGAGCUCAAAAUCUUAUUUUAACUUUUUGUCGGCAACUGAAGCAGCAGUGGUGAAGAACCUAAUACUGCACCAAAAAGUAGAAACGGAAACAAUGAAUGAGGCUAGUGUAAUUGUAUAUUAUUAGUUAUAAUAUAAUAAUUUAGCUUAUUAGCACUAAUAAUUCGUUGCACUCUAAAACAUCAGCUUAUAAUAUUUAAGCUUAAUUAUUAAUAUUAAAGCCUCUAUUUCUUAUAUAUUCAAUUAUAAACGGUCAAAAGUGAUAAUCGUUAACUCAACUGCAGCUUCUUGACUUCUCCUCAGCAGUAGAUCAAAUUAAACAAUUUAUUCAAAAGCGAAUGUCGAAUGUCGUCUCCACCACGGCAAUUGGAAAUAGACUCAAUGCAAACCACGUGCGUCACAAAUCUAGUUUGCAAAGUUGGUAUAUAUGAGUAACAUGCGGCACCGAUAACUUUAUCUAUCAGAUAAGACCAGUGUGCAAUUAUAGAGCCAAUUGAAAGAGCUGUGUAACAAGCUCUAAUAUGAUAGAUCGACACACACCUUAAGAAGAGUUUCGAUUAGUUUUCAUACGUAAUUUACCGAUUGUUCCUAGAACAAGUGGCAAAGGACUUGAUGGUUAGUACCCGAUGUCCUAAGUUCGAAUCCUAGCUAGUUGAUUCACAUUCCAGCUAAGUUUAUUUCUAAAUGAAAUAAAUUGAAGUGGAUAACAUGCUACCUAUCUCUCAAAAAAAAAAAAAAUUUUUUUUCAUACAUAAUUUGAAGGUAUUGUAUAAAUUUAUCAGUAUAUCAACAGCUCAUAACUAUUUCUUCUCGCACAUUCGAAGCAUUCAAGAGCAUUAGUUAUUUCGGACUACUAUAUAUCCAAGACAUGUGAUGACAUUCAUUUUAAGAGCAGGAUUAGUGUACUGUGAGCUUUUAUUUUGUCUGGGAGUUAAGGGCGUGGUCAUUAAAUACCAGAACAAGUGGGUACGAAGAGAACAAGUCUAAUUAAGUAAUGCAGCAGUAGUACAUGCAUUAAUUCAACAACUUACCAGGCGAAUUUAUUUAUGCCAUUAUUAUAGAGAUAUAUACAAGCAUACUGCUCAUUUAUCAAUUGCCCCAUGCUCUUUGAAGUAAACAAUAUAUAUAGAGAGAGAGAGAGUGAGAUUACUAUACUUCUGGAAGCACGGAGCCUUUCCUGCUUUCAGGUUGUUUUCGAUGUUGCGACUUUCGAAUCGUCGAUUCGCUCCAUUAAACUUGAUCUAGAUUAUUUGAAGUACCUAGAAAAUAAAUUUUACAAUUUUUCGAUAUCAUUUGCCUAGUGAACGAAGGGGCUCAAAAUCAACGACUGAAAAUAAAAAUCAUACAAAACAUGAUAAAAUGACAUUAAAAUUUUAGAUCAAGAUAUUGAUCUUGUUUUAUAUAGUAUAAAAAACUUUCUAUCAAAAUUUCAUGCGAUUUGGAUAUUUCUACACCGUUAAACUGGCAAACAGCUUACUACGACUAUUAAAAUCAUUGAUUUUGAGCCCAUUCGAUCACUAGGCAAAUGAUAUCGAAAAACCAUAAAAUUUAAUUUCUAGGUAUUUCAAAUACUCUAGAUCAAGUUUAACGGAGCCGAUCGACGAUUCGAAAGUCACACCAUCGAAAACGACCUAAAAGCAUGAAAGGUUCCAUACUUCCAAAAGUAUUGUAGCCUCACACACACUAUAUAUAUAGAACUAGGCUACUAUGCUAUUAAUAGCACCAAGUCAUUGGUGCAACCAAGUUUUUGGCCAUUAGAUUAAGAGAUGUGCUGUUAGGAUGAUGUGGGCCCCCUAGGGUUGAGUAAGUGGUUGGUUGAAUAGUAUGAUCUACCGGGUGAAAAUGAUUAAAAAGGUAGAUCUAACGGCGAAAAACUUGGUAGCACCAAGUGCUUCGUGCUAUUAGUAGCCGGACUAGAAUACUAUCGAUAGCAAACGGGCUCCGUUGCCACCCAUUUAUUUUCGCUGAUGGAGCCUUCAAAUCGAUGAUCGGCACCGUUGAACAUGAUUUAUACCACUUGAAGUGUUUAGAAAUCAAAUUUCAUACAUUUUCGUCAUUGUUCUCUUAUCCAUCGAGUGAACACAAAAAUAAACGGCUGAAAAUGAAUAUUCUUUAAAAAAUGAUGAUAGGAGUCUUGUAAUCAAGAUCAAGAGUAUAGAUCUUGUUUUAAAUAGUUUACAAAAUUUUCUAACAAAAAUUCAAUUGAUUUGGAUAUCUUUACGCCGUUAAACGAGAAAAUGCCUUAUAUCGACUAUUAAAAUUACAAAUUUUGAAACCCUUUGAUCAUUAGGCAAAUGAUAUAAAAAAGAUUUGAAAUUUGAUUUCUAAACACUUCAAGUGGUAUAGAUCAUGUUCAACGGUGCCGAUCGUUGAUUUGAAGGUUCCAUCAUCGAAAACAAAUGGGUGGCAACGGAGCCUGUUUGCUAUCGAUAGUAUUCUAACUUCACUUUCUCUCUCUCUCUCUCUCUAUAUAUAUAGAGAGAGAGAGAGAGAGAGAGUUAAGGUAGAAUACUAUUAGUAGCAAACGAGCUCCGUUGCCACUUAUUUAUUUUUAAUGAUGGAGAUUCUAAAUCGAAUAUCGGUAUUAUUGAACAUGAUCUAUACCACUUGAAAUAUUUAGAAACAAAUUUUCAUAUUUUUUCAAUAUUGUUCUUUUGUCCAUCAAGUGGACACAAAAAUGAACGGCUGAAAAUAAAAAUUCUUUAAAAAGUGAUGAUAGAAAUUUUGUAAUCAAGAUCGAGUGUAUAGAUCUUAUCCUAAAUAGUUUAAAAAAUUUUCUAACCAAAAUUCAACUAAUUUAAAUAUCUUUACACCAUUAAGCAUGAAAACGCCCUAUAUCUACUAUUAAAAUUUCAAAUUUUGGAACUUUUUGAUCAUUAGGUCAAUAAUGUUGAAAAAAUUUAAAAUUUGAUUUUUACAUACUUCAAGUGGUAUAGAUCAUUCUCAACUGUGCCGAUCAUCGAUUUGGAGGCUCCAUCAUAAAAAAUAAAUGGUUGGCAACGGAGCCUGUUUGUUACCGAUAAUAUUCCAGCUCGACCUCUAUAUAUAUAGAUAGAGAGAGAGAGAGAGAGAGUUGGGCUAGAAUACUAUUGAUAGUAAAAAGUUCUUUUUGCCAUCAAGUUUUUAGCCUUUGAAUUAACUCAUUUCAUCAUUUCUAAUCAUUGGAUUAAAUAUUAUAACCCAGUAGGGACCACUCAACCCUAAUGGACUAAUAUCAUCCUAACCCUAUAAUUUCUCAUCCAAGGGUUAAAGCUUGAUAGUAAAAAGGGUCUUUUGCUAUGAAUAGUAUUCCAGCUCAACUCUCUCUCUCUCUCUCUCUCUCUCUCUAUAUAUAUAUAUAUAUAUACUAAAUAAAAUAUUUAUGCAUCGAAAAAUUAUUAUCAAUAACAAUUUAUUACUAUUAUUAUCUAUUAUUUAUUACUAUAUACUAAAGUGCAUUGGACAGUCUUCUUUUAUUGACAUGUGUCCGGCUCCACUAUUCGGUAGACCCGGUGCAUCGUAGACUAUUGAUUGUAGACGUAUAAAUGGUCUAUGGAAAAAUCUUGGGUGCAUCUGAUUUAUUCUUUUUCUACAUUAAAGGAGGGUUUGGGGAUGACACGUGUUCCCCAAAACCCUCCUCUCUACUCUUUCCCUACCUAUAUAUAGGUUUUAAAAUUUUAUAUUAUAAAAUUUUAUAUCACGCCCCGGAUUACUCGUUUUUUCAGGCACGCCGACAAAUUCGCUGUAUACAAAGAAAUUUUUUCUGUAUACGAAACGAUAGCUGUACUUGUACCUGUAAUCAUACAAAACUACAACUAGUAGUAUAGAGCUGUUGAUGAAACUGUAAACAUAGGAAAAUAAAAAUUGGGUUCACUAUACAUACAUAGUGACAAGAUACAACAUCACUCGCUCGAGCGAGUAUCUAACAUCAGUAUGUACAUGAACAAAAAACCAAAGUUACCUGUAGUUGGUACUCCUCUAAAACAGCAGCAUAAUUGGAAGGGAUCUAGCUCGUGACUCUCUUUCCAUGAUCAGGGUCAGUAACAGCAGCAGCCGCAGAAUAUGGCUUUGCAAAAAGGGGUCAACAACUGGGUGUGAGAACUACUGUAAAAAGAAGUAGUUCUCAGUGGGUACCGCUGCCGACCUUAACGGCUCACCCACUAAGUUUACAUAAAGUAUGCUCAAGAAUAGUAAAGAAAGUUGGAAAAACUCUACAGCUAUAUACCACUAUACUGUCACUAACCAACACUAACUAUUUGUAGAUUUAAUAAUGCAAUCUCUGACCCAAUCUCACUAGGGACCUGUCGAAACCCUAGAGAGAGAGAGAGAAAACAACAAAUAAAAUCUCCCUCUCUGUCUCUUCAUACAUAUAUACAUGGUGGGGAUAAGGGUGAAGUCCACGAUGCAUCAAUUGACCAAAAGGCCCCUCACCUACCGUAGACUACCUAUACCAGCUCGACGCCAUACCAGUACCCAGCAGCAACAAUCGCAACCCGAGAGCAGCAUUUGGAAAAUUCCUCUGGGGUAUCGGUACUUCCCUGCGUGGUACCGGUACUCAAUACUGACAACCUGUACUUUGCAGAUUUCAGUAUCAAAACCCUCCUCUUGCGUUUCACUGAAUCCGUUUUGCGUCUAUUUCACAUCAAAACAACUCGGACUUGUUUCGACACUCUCCAGAUGUGUCGGCAAGCCUUAGAUGCUGAAAUCUCACGGCUGCAGAACCCAAGGAUAAUACAUUUUAAAUUUUGACAUAGUGUCCGGCUCCACUACUCGGUAGACCCGGUGCAUCGUAGACCAUUGAUUGUAGACAUAUAAAUGGUCUAUGAAAAAAACUUGGGUACAUCCGGUUUAUUCUUUUUCUAUAUUAAAGGAUGGUUUGGGGAUGACACAUGUUUCCCAAAACCCUCCUCUCCUCUCUUUCCCUACCUUUUAUAUAGGUUUUAAAAUUUUAUACUAUAAAAUUUUAAAUUUUGGAUACUGAAAUUCUAAUUUAUUCUUUAAUUUUGGAUAUAAAAUUUUAAUUUUAAAUUUUGGAUAUUCCCGAGCCAAACGCUACCUUAGAGUACUCCAUUUUUUUUUGUCAUUUAUCUAUUUUAAAUCUAAAUUUUAGAACAAAUCACAUCUAAUUUCUUCACUUUGAUGCUUAAUUGUGCUAAAUUUAGAAAUUUUUUACAAAAUUAAAUAUAUGUUUAUACAUUCUAAAAAAAAUUAUGAAGUCACUCAGUUAAAAACCUACGAAUCAAGUAACUACUUUUUAUUUUAUUAUAAUAUUUUUAAUUCUCCAUAUUAUUUGUAUGGGUUGACAAAAAUGAUGUGAAUAAAAUUAGAAGAAUAAGAAUUUAAAAAAAAUACAAAAAAAGAACAUGUAUUUUUGAGCAAACUGGCCUAAGAGUAAGCAUAUUACAAAUUUUUUCCUUUUGCUUUAGAAAAUUUUGAAAAUUUACGGAACCCUGAGAAUUUAGAUAGAAACUAUCAAAUUCCUAGAGAUAAAAUCUGUAAUAAAAUUUUAUAUUUUGUAAUCAGAUGUUGAUACAAAUAUGUAUUUAAUAGAUAUAUUUAAUAAAAAUAUAUAGUAUAUUUUAUAAAUAGAAUUAAGAACAUACCUGUCGUACCCGCCGCAAUGCACAGGUACAUUGCUAGUUGUGUCUAAGCAAGCAUCUCUUUUGCACUAUUUUCUUUCUCCUUUAUUCAGAGUGAAUUUAAUUUUAGAAGGCAACUCAAUGCAUCUUCUUUAUGAAAAAUCUUGGAAAGAAUGCCAGUUUUUUUUUUUUUUUUUUUUCCUUGCUCUUCUAUGCCAUGUAAAACAACACUUUGCCUUUAAGUAGAGAUAUAAAAUGGGCCGGACAGCCCAGGCAUGACUAUGGGCCGGACUGAGGCAUGUCGCGAGUACUGCAGCCUGCUAUUUUGGGCCGUACUGAGCUGCUCCUGUUAGGUCUGUCGGCUUGGCACGGCCCUUUUCGAAGCGGGCAUGGGUAGUGCUAGGCUGUGGUGCCAGGCUAGGAGGCAGCCCGGCACCGCCCAUGCCCGAUGGGAGAAGAAGGAAGACGGAAAAAAAGAGAAAAGAAGAAAGAAGUGAAAGAACAAGUUGGAGGGCAGAAUACCACAGGAAAAAAAAACGAAUUUAUGGCAUCAUUUGCAUUUAAAAUGUUAAUUAUAUACAGUUUUAUGUAAACAUAUUGAAUAACAAAUAUAUCUCUAUAUUCAACUUUUUAUAUUUAUCUCUUCAAAGGUUCUAACGUUUUCAAAUAUGGCUCUACUAUUAAGAUCCGUUAGAAAAUUAUAGUUAACUAUAGGUAAAAUACUUAAUCCUUGUUAGUAAAUGAGAUAAAUUAACCAUUUUAUCUCUUUUAUAUUAUUUGUGAUGUCAGAAAAAAAGAUAAUCAUUUAAAAUUUUUAAGAGGAUAUUUCUUCAUAAUUCUAACAGUUGGGACUUUAGAAAAGAUAUAUUUAUGAUGACAAAAAUAUCAUUUCACUUAACUUCUGUUAAAAAAUAAAUUGUUGCGUACACCCAAUAUUAUUUGCACCGAAUCUACUUUUUAAUAAUUAAUAUUGCAAAAUCAAAAUCUACUUUUAUAUAUAUGUGUGUGUGUGCGCGCGCACGCAUGCGUGCGAUUUAUACCAUGUAAAAAAAAACAUAUGUAUGAAAAAUUAAAAAAUUGAAAACUCGCAUCUAUGAAUCGAUGUAAAAGUAUUAUAAAGCUAUAAAGUUUAGAUGAUGCCUAUGGGUCAAAUGUGUUAGGCACUGUCCUAAAAAUAAAAUUAUUCCUCCACAUGCGAAUCUUUGACAAUCACUUCUAGUGAUAUAAUGAUCACAAGCUACUCCGUGGGAACAUAUUCAAGAUAAUGCAUGUGAACCAAAACUUUUUUUUUUUUGAGAUCUAGCAAAUAGAGUAAAGUUUAAAGAAUUAGUAAAGCUCAAUAGAGUAAAGCACUUUUAUUGUAAUAAAAGUUUUUAUUUAAUAAGAGGCAUAAAUAUGAUUUGAUUGUCUAUGGUAGAAUGUCUAUUUUCUCAUUUGGAGUUAAAUCGUUAGAUUUGAUUUUUUUUUUUUUUUUUUUUUUUUUUCCAUCUAAGUAAUUGAGUGUGUGAGCAAAUGUCAUAACAGAAUAACCAAAAGUGGGGUAUUCAGAGCAUCUCUCUCUUUUAUUAGAAAUUGCCCAUCAAUUCAAUCCCAGGAUUUAUUAGCUUUCCUGACCAAACAACAUUACAAUAUUGAGUAGUCACUAGUGGAAGUGUUCCUUCGCUUUUAAAAUGGCAAGUGCAUCAUCUUGUACUCUCAGCAUUGGUCAGGCGAAGACUAAGCAGAAGAGACUUUCAAAUCAACCAAGCGUCUAUUUGUUUUAGUAUAAGUGAAGUGAUAGAACUCAAAUUUCAUCACAUUCGUUAUUUGUUUUGGUGUAAGUAAAAAAUAUAAUAUAACUUAAGUUACGUUAGACCUCCACUUCACCUAUCCUCGACUUUUUAUUCUAAAGUGCCGAACUUGACUUCCGCCACACUCAACCCCCUCUAAAAAAUUUAUUGAAUAGUAAAAUCUAAACUCUAUUUUCUUUAUAAUGGGUUAGAAUUAUCUUAUUUAUAAUAAAUUAGGAUUACUUUUAAAUGAUAAUAAAAAAUUUAAUUAUAUAAUAGGUUAAAUUUUAUAGCGGUAAAUUUAUUAUUAUAUUUAAGAGAUAACGAGAUCCACUUAUUUACAUCAAAACAAACAACGAAAUUCAAAAAACUAAUUUUACCAGUAUCAAGUUAUAUCGAAACAAACAGAAAAAGUAAUUAAAUUUAACUUUCAGACUGUACGAGUUACGUCAAGACAAAUAGCAAAAAAAUAAUCACAAUUCAGAAAAACUCAAACACUAUUGCAUUUGACUUAUGUUGGAUUUACAGAUUCGUCAAUCCAAACGGCCCCUAAAAGAAAAGAAAAAGUUCAUAUGCAUUUGUACUCACAACAUGCAUCACAUGCUCUCAAAUAAAUCCUACUAUGCACAAUACUCAAUAUACACGCAUGCUAAAAAAUAACACUUUAGAUAUAAAAGAAAAUCUAAUGAUUUUGAAAAGCACCACCCAUCUCGUAUGGUUGUAAGGGUAUUACGGUUCAGUUCUUAGAAUUUUUGGGCACCUAUUCUCUCGCCUGCGGUAAAACGAAGCCAAAUUAGAAUUUUUACCCAAAAUCAUUAUUUAGACUCGUCGGAUCGCCGAACCGAAUUCAUAUAAAGGUAGAAAUACCUCUAAUUUACAAGGUCAAUUUAUUUUUAAACCACUCUAGGGCAAAAGCCCCAAUUUUGGUGUCCUAAUAAUGCCAUUUGUUCAAUCUCUUGGUUUGAUCUCUAAAACAAGCAAAGUAAGCUUGUUCAACAUCUAGAAGUUCAUCUAGAAUCUUUUCUAAGCCAUUCAAAUCAUUUCUAGGGCAUACAAACCGAGCCCUAGAAAUCCACUAUGGGAGCAUACGAAGAAAACUUAAUUUUUAUGUGUUCCAUGGCCUGUAGAAGGUUCCUACACUUGUAAAAAGGUCAAAACCAAAAAUCUAGGGUAUAAAAUCCAAGCUCUAACCUUAGUCUUACAAGAAAAUCUCACUUUUACCCAAAACCCUCCAAGGUCCACCUUGUAGGAGAGCUUCCAAGCCUUCAAAACUCCAAAAAUCUCCCCCAAAUCCUUCUCCAACUACUCCUCUUAGCUCCUUGGAGAGAUCUCUAGAGAGAGAAAGAGAGAAAUGAGAGAGAGAGGGGUGCUUGCUAUUGUGAACAGGUGGGAGGGGUGUGUGGGGUCUUAUAUGGGUUACCAAAUUGCAAAAAGAUCCUCCGAAUAUUUAUAUUUGCAGCAAACUUAAUUCUGCUGCAAAGGACAUCUUGUACCGAUACAAGGUGGUUUGUCACCGGUUACACGAUUUCGCAGAACCAAACCCGAGAGCUGCUAUUUUAGGUAUUACACUUGGUACCGGUACAAGAAGGAUUUGUUACCAGUUCAACAGCCUUUUUUUCUCAAAUCCGAGAACUGUUUCUCUCGGUCUGAUGCCUGGUACUGGAACAAACUCAAUGCAUUAUCGGUGACAAAAACUCCAGACUGGAGUUUUGCACCGUUUUCGACUCCAAUUCGUGCUGAUCAAUGCUAAAACCUUUCUAACUCUUCUGGAAUUCACUUUUAACCCUUCCAACAUUGUUUGAAUAUUAAAUUGACUUUCUCCAACUAUUUCUUUCGGACACUUUAAUCGAUUUGGCUAAAGUCCGAAACACUCUACCGAAGUUUCGGUAUAUUACAUUCUCCACCCUUUAAAAUUAAUUUCGUCCGCGAAACUAAAACAUACCUUAACUCAUCGACUCGAAUAAGUGAGGAUAAACCUUCCUCACCGUCUCCUCAAGCUCCCAAGUGGCUUCACGCACCGCUUGAUUACUUCACUGGACCUUGACAUAGGGAAUUAUGCGAUUUCGCAACUUUUUUUCUUCUCUAUCGAGAAUACAUAUCGGAUAUUCUUCAUAAGUCAUAUCCUCGCUCAACUCCACCGGUUCAUAUUUCAACACAUGAGUCGAGUUUCGUAUAUACUUGCGGAGAUUUGAUACAUAAAAUACAUUAUGAACUCCCGCAAGCCUUGGUGGUAAUGCUAGCUUGUAUGCCACCGCGCUGACGCGUUCCAAUAUUUCGAACGGUCCAACAUACCGGGGAUUUAGUUUCCCACGGAUUCCAAACCGCUUAACUCCACACAUUGGCGAUACCUUAAAAAAUACGCAGUCUUCAACCGCGAACUCUAGAUCUUUCCUCCGCUUGUCGGUAUAGCUCUUUUGCCGAAAUUGCGCCGUAGUAAGCUGUUGCUGGGUGGGGCGAACUUUCUCCUCCACCUCCCGCACUACAUCGGGGUCAAGAGCAACUCUCUCGUCCACAUCGCUCCAAUGGAUAGAAGAGCGACAUUUCUUUUCAUAAAGUGCAUCGAAUGGCGCCAUCGCAAUACUUUCUUGAUAACUAUUAUUGUAUGCGAAUUCCGCCAUUGGUAGAUAAUCAUGCCAUCCACCCUUAUAAUCAAGCACACACGCCCGUAGCAUAUCCUCAAGAAUUUGUAUUGUUCUCUCCGAUUAACCAUCACUUUGAGGAUAAAAUGUCGUAUUAAAGUCGAGCCGUGUGCCCAAAGCGUCUUGUAGGCUCAUCCAAAAGUGAGAUGUGAAUCUCGGAUCUCGAUCAGAUACCAUAGACACCGGAACCCCAUAAAGUUUCACAACCUCGUCGAGAUAUACUUGAGCCAACUUGUCUCCCGACCACGUAGUAUGAAUCGGCAAAAAGUGCGCCGACUUCGUCAACCGGUCCACUAUCACCGAACUUGUAUCGUAUCCGCCUUGUGAUCGAGGAAAACCGGUCACAAAAUCUAUUGCGAUAUCCUCCCAUUUUCAAACGGGUAUAGAUAGACUUUGCGACUUUUUCGCCGGAAACGGAUGCUCCGCUUUCACUUGUUUGCACGUAAGACAUUGCGCUACGAAUUCUCCAAUAUCUUUCUUCAUGCCCGGCCACCAAUAGUGCACUUUUAAAUCUUGAUACAUUUUAGUGCCGCCCGGAUGAAUACUAUAGGGGGAUGGAUACGCUUCUUGCAUAAUCGCCUUACGAAUAUUCUCGUUUUUAGGCACACACCAUCGAUUUCGAAAUCGAAGUGCGCCAUUGGUCCCAAUGCUGAAAUUUUCAGUACUACCGCUUUUAACUUCAUCGCACACCUUUUGGAGAUAUUCAUCGGAAGCUUAUAACUCUUUUAUUCUCUCCAACAAGGUCGGUUACACAACCAACAUGGCAAGUGUAACUGGCAUUCCCGGAGCUACUGCUUCUAGACCAAGCCGUUGCAUCUCUUUUUGCAAUAACGGUUGGGGUGUAAUUGUCGAAGCCAAGUUUUUUUUUCGAUUUUCUACUAAGUGCAUCGGCCACGACAUUCGUUUUUUCAGGGUGGUAUAGAAUAGUAACAUUGUAAUCUUUUAGUAACUCUAACCACCGCCGUUGUCGCAUAUUUAACUCUUUUUGGGUGAACAAGUAUUUGAGACUCUUAUGAUCCGUGUAAAUCUCACGAUGCUCACCGUACAAGUAAUGCCUCUAUAACUUUAGCGCAAAUAUCACCGCGGCUAGCUCGAAAUCGUGAAUCGGGUAAUUCUUUUCAUAAUUCUUCAAUUGGCGAGAAGUAUAAGCUAUCACUCGACCAUUUUGCAUUAAUACACACCCGAGACCAACAUAUGAAGCAUCACUGUACACAAGAAAGCUCUCCCCCUGCGUCGGUAGAGCAAGCACCGGGGUCAAUGUCAAUCUUUUCUUUAACUCCUCGAAGCUCUGAUCGCAAUCGUCGCUCCACACAUACUUCACUCCUUUAUGCGUGAGGUACGUUAGCGGAGUGGUUAUUUUGGCGAACCCCUCCACGAACCGCCGGUAGUAGCCCGCUAGUCCAAGAAAACUGCGGACCUCCGCAACACUCGUCGAGCGAGGCCAAUCUUUAAUUGUCUCUACUUUCUUUGGAUUUACCGAGACUCCAUCGCCCGAUAUCACAUAGCCUAAGAAAGUGACAUCCGAAAGCCAAAAGUCAUAUUUAUUCAACUUGGCAUAUAGCUUCUCUUUCCAAAAUAUUUGCAACACGGUACUCAAGUGUUCCUCGUUUUCUUCCUCACUCCAUGAAUAAACCAACACGUUGUCAAUGAAUACUACGACGCACCGGUCUAACAACAGUCGAAAGACUCGAUUCAUCAAGUCCAUAAAUACUACCGGGACAUUAGUAAGCCCAAACGGUAUUACCGUAAACUCAUAAUGGUCAUACCGUGUAUGAUACGUCGUUUUGUGCACAUCUUUGGGCCGUAUCUUCAAUUGAUGAUACCCCGACUGAAGAUCUAUCUUUGAGUACAGCCGUGACCCUUGCAACUGAUCGAAUAAAUCAUCAAUCCUCGGCAACGAGUACUUAUUCUUAAUUGUCACUUUGUUCAAUUUGUGGUAAUCCACGCAAAGUCGAAAUGUGCCAUCUUUUUUCUUUACAAAUAGCACCGAAGCUCCCCACGGUGACACGUUCGGCCUCACAAAUUCUUUAUUGAGCAAGUUUUGCAACUGUGCUUUUAGCUCUUUUACCUCCCCCGGUUUCAUUCUAUACGGAGUCUUCAAAAUUGGCGCCGCCCCGGAAAUCAAAUCAAUAAUGAACUCGAUCUCUCAGUCCGGUGGCAAUCCCGAUAACUCUACCGAAAAUACAUCCGAAAACUCGUACGCCACCCGAAUAUCACCGAGUUUCGGGUGCUCCUUUUGAGCUUCCACCAUUGUCGCCAAGUAGGCUACAGAUCCACCCUAAAUUAUUUUCCUUGCCCUCGCCGCUGAUACAGUCGCCGCGAAGCGCGAGCUUUUACAUCCCCGAUGCACUAACUCCUCUUGGUUAGGCUGACGGAAUGUGAUCACCUUACUUUCACAAUCUAUAACGGCAUAGUAUUUAGAGAGCCAAUCAAUCCCCAAAAUUACGUCGAAGCCCCACAUUCGAUUCAAUACUAGCAAGUCCGCCGGCAUAAUCUAUUCGCCUAUCUGAACAAGACGAACCAAACACUCCUCAUGCACACUAAAUGAAUGCUCAGAUGCAUUAAGCUACCAAUAAUCCGGGUUAUAGCUGAUCUCUAUGCCAUGAGUCUUAGCAAAUGAUGCACCUAUAAAUGAAUGCGAUGCAUCUGUAUCGAACAAUGCUCUAGCUCUAAUGCCAUUAAUCAAGAUAAUACCUGCCAUGACAUCGUCAGGAACUGCAGGCUGCUCUUCCAUCUAAGUGGCAAAAAUUCGCCCACUCGGUGCUCUAGAUCUCUCCGGCUGACGCGGUACUGAUGAGCGUCCAGCCGACAUAGCCGAGGGCAACCCCGCAAGCUGUCUCGGGGUGGAAGGAACUGAUGCCGCCGUCGGUGCAGACGACCCCCAACUCGGGUACUCCCAGGCCAUAUGCUCGGCUUGGCCACACUUGUAGCACUUUCCCUCGCAUUGCAGGCAAGCCGACGGUCGAUGCUCACCGCUGCAAAUAACGCAUCGGAAAGGCUUCCAAUUCUUCGAUUGCUGUCGAGGAUACCGAGGGGGUUUCUUUGCAUUUGGCCGGCCCCCGGCACCGCCCGCCGCCCGCUUCUUCCCUUUGUUUCUCGAUUCGGCCAUAGACUCGUGCUCCUCUGGCGCGUAGGCGUUGCCAUGCUCCGCACACAAAGCUCGAUCAAAGACUUCCGCAAAGGUAGUAAGCUUGAGGAUUUGCACGGCCUCAUAGAUCCUCGGUCGGAGUCCUCGUAAGAACCAAUCAGCCUGGUCUAGAUCAUCUCAAACAACAUCCGAAAAACAAUUGAUGAUGUGGGAGGACUACUGCUCGUAAUCCGCCAUCGAGCGAUCUCCUUACCUCAACUUGCGAAACUUUUCUUGCAUCUUCCGCUUCACCGUGUCAGGAAAAUAGUUAGCGAACAUCGCCCUCUUAAACUCCUCCCAUAAUAUAGGCAGAAGGUCAAAAGACCGAUCUCGCUUCAUCCGCUUCCACCACACCUUCGCUGCCUUCUCAAGACAAUGAGUGGCGAGGAGCACUUUGUCUUUCUCCAAGGGAUAAAUAUCCUCGAAGAGCGUCUCCAUGGCAUCGAUCCACGACUCCACCAUCGCCGGCUCCACCUUUUCCCCAUUAAACAUAGGUGGGUUGAAUUUCUUGAACAUAACGAGAGCCGCCAACGCACGCUCUCGCUCCGCCUCUGCCGCCGCACUUUCGGAAUUUAAAGUUCCCGAUCCGGCCGGCACCGCCGUAACGGGCACAGCCGCCGCGGCCACGCCCUCCUCCACGAUCGGCAUCGCUACAGGGGGCGCAGAAUGCUUGGCCCCUACUUGAGCCGCCGCCGCCUGCUGCCGCUCUAAAGCCUCUCGAAGACUUUGAAUCUGCUUCCUCUGAUGCUAAACCGCCUCAGCAUGUUGACGCAUCAACUCUGCUUGUUGCCGCACAAUGCCGACAAGAGCGGACAUCUGCUCCCGAAGCUCCCCGUCGCCACUAGCUUCGGAUUCCAUAGGAGCCGCACUCGAUUCCUCGGGCGUAGACCUCGUUCGGGGUCGACCACAAGGCAUUGCUUCCUGAAAUGAAGCAACUCAUAUUAGUUACAUAACCACUAUACUCGGACAUACCCAAUCUGGCGAAAACAAACAAGUGUAUUUAUUUCCAUUCCAAAGCAGUAUGUCGUCGGCCGUCGAUCACAAGACAAGGAAUAGAAAACAAUAUCUACUUAAAGUUUAGCCCCUAACCACAUUAGAGACAUAUUAAUAUCAACCCAAUCAUAAAGCUUUCGCUAUAAUUUAGUUCCACGUCACUCACAUUUUCUAGAUCCUUAAGAUUUUUCAUUCCUAAUGGUCUCUAGGUCCAUUCUAUACUUUCACUUUUGGGCUCUGAUACCAUUAUAUUUGUCAUGCUCCGAGACCGGCCAUAUUUGGUCCGUUCGGGCUCGUCGAACAGACGCCGAAUGGACAGUACCUCCCUUGUCCGCCCAAGGCUCAACAACAAGUACAAUUUCAAGUAGAAAAAUUUGAACAUGCGGAAGCAUACAUAAUUGGCUUGCACGAGGGCAAGCAAUAGCCAAAGUGAAAGUACUAAACUAAACCAUUCAUACAAGUAAUAUGAUUAGCUUUUAACUACAUACAUAGAUACAACUUGGCUAAUCUUUUACAUUCUUUGCUUUAACAUUAUUUCUUCUCUUUUACAUUACAUGAUAUCUCAAAAUAUAACUUGCUUUUACAUUUAAACAUUUAUAGUCAUCAGAAUACAAAAGAUGACAUAAAAGGGUAUGCAACUAAACCAAAAUGUGACCAACUCGGGUAGUCCCUAUCUAUGGCGUGAUACCUUUACCGCGAUCACUGGCCAGCUCACUCAGUACCGGCUCUGUGGAGAAAAAGGGGGUGAGAACUACAAUAAAAUUUUCAGUGGGUUCGGCCGCUGACCUCGCCGACUUUCCUACUAGGUCUAAAUCAGAUAUAAUAGAAGAAUGGGUAGAUAGUAACCAACUAAACAAAUACAGCUAAUAUGCCUGAGCAAUAUAUAAUCCAUGAUUAUGUUCAAAUAGAAUUCUUAUGAUGAAUGCAAGAUUACUUUUCAAUUCUUAACUUUCUUGGCUAGCCCGUAGGUUUCGCCCUCAAUUAAUUUUACCAAUUCAAGUCCCUACUAUCGGGCCCUCAGCUUCUUCCCGACGGGCCAAAUCUCUAAUAUCGGGCCCUCAGUUUCCUCCUGAUGGGAUCGUCUUCUUGGGCUUACCAUUUCCAGUGAUGACAACUCCAGAGCUCAUCACUCGAGAGGGAGCGACCUCACUCAAGCCAAGACUUAUAGGCGAGUAUGAUCAAUCCUUAACUUUAAGGAUUCCAAGUUCAAUCCAAUUCUUACUAUAAGAAUGCAAUACUCCUAUGACCCUUAACUUUAAGGUUGCUAUGUCAUAAUAUCACUAUCUCAUUUACUUGCAUUAUCACUUUUUUUUAGUGUCACUUGCACUAUUGUUCUUUGUACUCAUUCACAUGCAUUCUCAAUUCACUAAUGCCACACACUAAGUGUUCAACUCUAGCAUUCACAUUAUGCCACACACUAAGUGUUCAACUCUAGCAUUCAUAACUCAUUGAUGCCACACACUAAGUGUUCAACUCUAGCAUUCAUAACUCAUUGAUGCCACACACUAAGUGUUCUUUUCUAGCAUUCAUUGUUUACUAAUACCACACAAUCCAUAUGUCAUAAUGUUAUUUUGUUCUUUGCCUCAUCUAGAUUCAUUACUCUUUCCUAGGUUCUUGUCAUUACUCAUACAUACAUAGGAUUUUACAAGUUCUUAUUCUUUUACUAUCAUUUCAUAUGCAUUUGUACUUACAACAUGCAUCACAUGCUCUCAAAUAAAUCUUAUUAUGCACAAUGCUCAAUAUACACGUAUGCUCAAAAAUGACACUUUAGAUAUAAAAGAAAAUUCAAUAAUUUCGAAAAGCACCACCCAACUCGUAUGGUUGCAAGGGUGCUACAGUUCAAUUUUUAAAAUUUUAGAGUACUUAUUCUCUUACCUGCGGCAAAACGAAGCCAAAUUAGACUUUUUAUCCAAAAUCAUUACUUAUACUGGUCGGAUCACCGAACCGAGUUUAUAUAAUAGUUAGAAAUAUCCCUAAUUUAGUUUCUAUAAGGUCAAUCUGUCUUUAAACCACUGUAGGGCAAAAGCUCCAAUUUCGAUGCCAUAACAAUGCCAUUUGUCCAAUCUCUUGAUUUGAUAUUUAAAACAAGCAAAAGCAAGCUUGUUCAAUAUCUAGAAGUUCAUCUAGAACCUUUUAUAAGCCAUUCAAAUCAUUUCUAGGGCAUACAAAUCGAGCCCUAGAAAUCCACCAUAGAAGUACAUGAAGAAAACUUGAUUUUCAUGUAUUCCAUGGCCUCUAGAAGAUUCCUACACUUGUAAGAAGAUCAAAACCAAAAAUUUAGGGCAUAAAAUUUAAGCUCUAAUCUUAAUCUUACAAGAAAAUCUUACCUUUGCCCAAAGCCCUCCAAGGUCCACCUUGUAAGAGAGCUCCCAAGCCUUCAAAACCCCAAAAAUCUCCUCCAAAUCCUUUUCUAACUCCUUGUCUUAGCUCCUUAAGUGGGCCCAUUACUCUAUAUUCCUGGUUUGCCAAAGAGGCCCUGAGUUUAAAUUUUUUUACCUGCAUUCAAGUUUUUUCAAAUUAGUGAUACAAAAUUAAUGUCUAAACUAGAGAAAUUUACAAGUUUUUUAAACAUAUUAAAUAUGUUAAAUUUAAAUAUCUACCAACAUUAAAAAUUUAAAUAGUAAUACAAAUUUCUUCUAAUUUAAAUUUAAAUUUUUAAAAUUUAAAUAUUUAAUAUUUAAUAUUUAAAUCAACAUAUUUAGAAAUAGUAGUAUUUCUAAAAUUCCUAAAAUUCAAAUUGAUGCGUAAAUUAGGGGAACACUAAAAUUCCUAAAAUUAAAUGCAUAAAUUAGUGCAAAAUUAAUGCCUAAAUUUGGGAUAUAAGUCAAUUCCUUAAUCAAUGCUUAAAUUAGUGCAAAAUUAAUGCUUAAAUUUGAAUUUUAGGAAUUUUAGAAAUACUACUAUUUCUAAAUAUGUUGAUUUAAAUAUUAAAUAUUAAAUAUUUAAAUUUUAAAAAUUUAAAUUNAAAUUAGUGCAAAAUUAAUGCUUAAAUUUGAGAUAUCAAUCAAACUUUCUAACAUUGCACAGUUUAAUUACAAAAAUACCCUCGUCGUAACCAGCUACAUAUUAAAAUAACAUCUUUACUCUUUAUUAAUCAACGGAUAGAAUUUUUUAAAUUUUUUUUAUUUUUUAUAAAAUAAAGUACCGAAUCAUUUCUCAACCAGUUUUAACUCAGCCCAACACUCUAAGAACAUACUAACUAAUAAUCCAAACUGUAACUUCGCCAAUUUGUCUAUGUCCGGUAUAUUACACUAUAAUAUUAUCUUAAUUGGUGUAAGGAUUGACUUUUUUUAUGAUAAACAAUGAGUUUAGUUGAUCGAAGGGUUACUUAUUUAAUAUGUACUAAUUGCCCCUGAACUCUUUUUUUGUUAUCCAUGGUCCAUCUGAUUUGUAUUUCUCAGACUCAAAAAUUAGUUAAUUCCAUAGCCAUAUUAAGCAAGCAUUUAAAGUUGUUUUUUCAUAAAUUUUUAGCAUUCAUUUAUUUGUAUACAACAUCAUCACUAAUUUUCAAAGCUUUUACUUCUAAGCUAUUUUAAAGUUGUUUUGUUUGUGCACUAACAUUUGGUUCUUCUUUCGGCAGAUUAGAUGUGCGAGGAUAUCAAUGUACUGAAUUUCUAAGCACUAAAAUCUUAAGAAUUUUCACUACCGAGAAACAAUAAUAGCCGAGGUUGCAGUGUUUUUAGCCAUUGAAAAGCUUGGUGAUGCAUUAGGAACAGAACUGUUGAACCAAGCUAGCUCUCUAUUUUCAAAGCUACUAGCAUCAUUGGCAGAGCUCCCUGAUAGUAUGGGACGCAUAAGGCGUGAACUCCACAUAAUGCAAGGAUUCUUACAUCACAUUGAUAUGGUAGAUAAAAAAAAUCAACUCCUUGAAUCUUGGAUAGAGGAAGUGCGAAAAGUUGCAUAUAUUAUUGAGGAUAUUGUGGAUGAGUAUAUCUAUCUUAUAGUUCAAGAUCAGCGCCGACAAGGUGGACUAGUUGGUUACAUGAAACAAGUGUUGAAGCAACCAAAAUCGUUUGGUAGCUUCUGUCUUAUUGCCUCUCAACUAGAACGAGUAGAGAAAGACCUUGACCACUUCUCACACUUAAAAGAUCGAUGGAUUCAAACAACGAGUAUUGGCCAUAGUAGUAGUUCAGAUAAGGUGAGCGAAUGGACACAACAUCUUAUGGGAAGCACUUCUCUUUUCAUGGGCGAGGAACAACUCGUAGGGAUUGACGAAGACCAACAUAUGUUAACUAAUUGGUUGAGGUCUGAGAAAUUAGAUCUCUGCAUAAUAAUAGUUUGGGGUAUGGGCAGGCUUGGAAAGACUACUUUAGUCAACAAUAUUUAUAAAAGUGAAAGUAGAACUUUGACUGCCGUGCCUGGAUUUCUGUAUCUCAAACUUUUAAAGUAGAAGAUCUUCUCCGAAAAAUGAUUACUGAACUUUUUGGCAACCAAAAAAUAGUUCCAACUGAUAUUGCCACCAUGGAUGGUAAAAAGUUGGAAGAGACACUAGCGGAAUUCUUAAGACAAAAGAAGUAUCUAAUUGUACUAGAUGAUGUAUGGGUUCCAGAAGCAUUUUAUGUAUUGCGUGAUUCUCUUGUCGCUAAUCAGAAAGGAAGUAGAAUAUUUAUUACAACAAGAAUUGCAGAAGUAGCAUCACUUGCGAACGAAAACUAUAAGCUUGAACUCAAACCUUUAUCUGGUCUUGAUGCAUGGAAACUUUUCUGCAAGAGAGCAUUUAUGAAUUAUCCAAACCAAGAAUGUCCCCCAGAGUUAGAAAAAAUUGCAAGAGAUAUUGUGGCCAAGUGCGAAGGGUUGCCACUAGCUGUUGUAUCACUAGGCAGCCUCCUGUCCUUAAGAGAGAAGAGUGAGACUGAAUGGAAGCGAGUUUAUAAUCAGCUUAACUGGGAGCUUACAAACCACCCAAGUCUUGAUCCCGUGAGAAACACUUUGAAUUUAAGCUUCAACUAUCUUCCUAAAUAUCUGAGGAAUUGCUUCUUAUCUUGCAGCAUGUUUCCAGAGGAUUGCCUUCUUAGAAGAAAAGGGCUUAUUAGAAUAUGGAUAGCAGAGGGUUUUGCGGCAGAAAGAGGAUCAAGCACGGCUGAGGAAGUUGCAGAAGGAUAUCUCAUGGAGCUUAUCCGUCGGAGCAUGCUGCAAUUGGUAGAGAGAAACCACUUCGGUAGGGUAAAGUUUUGUCGGAUGCAUGAUCUCGUGUGCGAGCUGGCUGUCUCUUUAUCUAAAAAUGAGAAGUUCCACAUUAUUUAUGAGGAUAAUGGGAUGGAAAGAAUGGUGGAUGCUAAUGCUCGUCGCCUGUCUGUUCUCAAACACAGCAAUGAUAUUGGAUUCAACAUUGAUCUACCGCGGCUACGAACCUUUGUAGCAUUUGGCACUACUAUGCCGCCGUCCUCAUUUUUAUCUGCUUUUCCAUCCAAAUCAAGGUAUAUUGCAAUUCUUGAACUGCAAGGCUUGCCUAUUGAGGAGAUACCUGAUGCUAUUGGAGACUUAUUCAAUUUGCGAUACUUGGGUUUAAGAGAAACGAAGGUAAAACUACUACCAAAAUCCAUUGGCAAGCUUUCCAACUUGUUGAUCUUGGACCUCUAUCAGUCAGCUAUACAAGAGCUGCCUCGUGGGAUCACAAAUCUCAAGAAAUUGCGCCACAUGUUUGUUGAAAGGGUAAAUGACCCAACCGGGAAAACCUUUCGCUUGUGUAGUGGUAUACAUGCACCAAAAGGUUUGUGGAAUUUAAAAGAAUUACAAACAUUGCAAGCGGUUGAAGCGAGUAGUGAGUUGGUUGGGCAACUGGGAAAUUUGACCAACCUGAGAAGUUUUAGAAUAUGGAACGUAAAGGAAACCUACUCUGCACAACUCUGCGCAGCAUUAUCACAAAUGCAUCAUCUUUUUAACUUAGGCAUUAAUGCAAGUGAUGAAAAUGAGUUUCUCAAUUUGGAAGGCUUGAACCCCCCACCCCCGAAUCUUAAAAAGCUUAGUCUAACAGGUAGAUUGGCACCAGGAACGAUGGUGUCUCCUUUGUUUCGAGCCCACGGGAAAAAUCUCCAAGAAUUAGGACUAUCUUGGUGCCAGCUAACUGUGGAUCCUCUUCCGUCGCUCGCUUGGUUGUCAAACCUCACUGCCUUAUGUCUUCACAGAGCAUACGAUGGAGAACAGUUGUGCUUUCGUGCUAAAUGGUUCCCUAACUUGCACGAGCUUCGAUUGAUUGACCUGUUGCAACUCCGACAAGUGAAGAUAGAGAUGACGGCCUUGUCAAACUUAGAAACUCUAUAUCUGGAAAGCCUAAGUAGCCUAGUAGAGGUCCCAAAAGGCAUUGGAUUCCUCAAAUCAUUGCAAAAGCUAUUUUUGUAUGAUAUGGAUCGUCAGUUGACGAGUCGUUUAAAAGCCAAUGCCAAGCUUCUACACAUCUAUUUACACUUAUUUGAAGUGCCUUCCUUUCAUCUGGAUUCGCUCACAAGUAAGUUUCUACAUGUCACACCCACGCAUUUCUUUUGCAAAUUUCCAAAUUUUACUACGUUUAAUUUCAUGCUUAACCCAAAACUGCUUACGGCACAUAAAACUAUGUUAGUAUCUUAUGUCUAAUUUAUUGAUUUUCUCUCCUUUGGUUUGAUUUUUGUUCAUUUUCAUCUCAUUUGGAGCCACCAGUAUUCGAUCAAAACAUAUUUUUAUGAACUUAAAUUCCAUAAUAAAGUUCCUAGUUAGGCAAUUGCUUAAACAUUAAUUGUUUCUUUCAGUACACUACUUUUGAUCUCAUAUUUAUUUAGUCAACAUAGAAAUUGCUACUAUAUUGAAAAUAAACCAAUGAUAUUCACUAAGUCCUAAAAAGAGCUUUUGCCAAUUUAAUUUGUAUAUUUUUUAGACUCUAUGCUUUCUACUAGCAAUGCUCAUGCAAAUUGACAGUUCAUUACAUAUUCAACUUGUUUUCUUACUAUAUAAUUUAAGUAAUAAAUUUACUAGUGCAACUGUACAGAUGUACUAUGCAUUUUUUAUUAUUAUUUUUUUCCAUCACAUAUUUCGUUACCAUGCAUUUAUGCUACUUUUAUUUUUUUUCUAUACUAUGAUUGUGUGCAUGCAACAUGCGCUUUGCACAAAAAUAAAGAAAAAAAAUUUAAGGAGAUGCUUUUAUAAAUUUUGAAAAUUUAUAAAUUUUAUCUGAUUGUAAUCAUCUAAUCUGAUAGAAAAAAUAGGAAGAAUUAUAUUAGAUUUAGUCAAAUUAGGUUUUUUUUUCAAAUUUCAUUAAUUUAAAAGUUAAAUAUCAUGUCGGUUAAUACAUGAAAAACUUACUGUAGAAUAAAAUCAAAUAAAAACUGUUACGUACGUGUUUCAAAUAUAAAUGUAUUUUUAUAAUAGAGGAGUAUUUUUUUUAAAAAAAGAGUAUAUCCUACCCUUUAUCCAUUCACUGGGUGAGGUGUUUUCACCGGUCACUUAAUGUGAUUGGUAGUUAACACCCCAUCCUUUGGAUGGAUGGGGUGUAACUUGUACACCUCCUAUGGAAUGUACAAGUGGCAUUUUUCAAAAGGAAUUUGACUGGCCCAAUAUUUUUACUCGCUCUUGUAUUUACACUAGUUAAAGUGCACAUGCAUGUAAUGCACACUUUGCACAAAAAAGAAAGUAAAAAAAUAAAAAAAUAAACUUGAGAAAUAAUUUUAAAGACUGUGUUUGGGGGGAAAUUUGACAUAUUCAAAAUUUUUAUUCGCUGUUUUAUAUAUAGUACAAUUUUAAAAUCCGAUCAAAUUUCAGAAUCAAUAACUUGUAAACUUUAAGGUAUAAAAACAUCAUAAAUGUUAUUUUUCUUCACUGGCCAUCAUUUCCUUCCAUGGUCAAUUUAUAUGCACACACCUCACCUUUUUUUUUUUUGGAAAUAUAUAAAUAGUCUAUUUUAUAGUUGGAAUUAACUAUCCCCUUAGUUUUUUUCUUGUUCACUAGUUUAUUCUGUGCAUGUGAAACUUGGUGCUAAUUUUUCAAUUUGUACUUCUCAAUUUAUUUCUUUUUCAAUUUUUUGAAAAUUCAGGUCAUCCUCUCCUUGGUUUUAAGCCACCGAGUACUUCUCAGUGUUUGUCGGUCAUGCCAUUAUUUGCUUAAUAUAGCAUUAUUAUUUGUUUGUCCACUAAAUUAUUCCUGCAAACUCAAACAAAGUUGUUGUAUGUAUUUUCUGUAUUAGUUUAGUUCUUUCAAUCACAUGCUAUAUGUGUUGUUUUACAAUAUAAUAUACCGACCGUCCUUAGAGCAAAUGGCAAAGGGCUUGGUGGUUAGUACCCGAGGUCCUAACUUCGAAUUCUAGUUGAUUCACAUUUUCUAGCUAAGUUUAUUCUAAAUGAAAUAAACGAAACAGAUAACAUGCUAUCUAUCUCUCAAAAAAAAAUAUAUAUACGGCGCAUGAUAUAUGAUAAUAUCUUGUGGAAUUAUUCUGUAAGAAAACAUUAUUGAUAAUAAUGUGUCAUUUUGUUGAAACAUUUGCAUCUACACUAACUUGAUUUUCCGUAUUCUCGAUGGAUUUACAUCCGUUGUAUACAAUAGCAGGAACUCUUACAAUAGAAAUACAAGUAACUUCUAUCCAAUAGAGGACAUUGAUUGAGAAACUCGGUAAAAGUGGCAGGUUUGAACGGAUAGUUUCGAUCUAUUGUGGGCGUGCUGACUCGAUCUAUCAAGUAAUGGAUUGUUUAGCACAUUUUGAUCUUACAAAUAGUUGCGAGAGUCUAUGUUAGCCAAUCACUUCAAUGCCCUAUACAAUUGCCAUUCAUGCAACUGGCUCACAGUUACAGAAGCCCUAAAAAAAUGUCUGGAUUUUGUUUUCCUAAAAAUAUUUGAAAAAGAAAAAUAUUAAUUUGCGAUGAAAUUUUGAAAAUAAAUUUUUAAAAACUAUUUUUUUUUAACCAAAUGAAUGGAAAACUGAAAAAAAAAAAUUCCAUAACAUUUUCUUGGCAAAAAAAAAAAGAAAGUUUUUUUCACGCUUUUUCGACAAACAAAGCACCCCUUAGCAUCGCAUAAAGUCGACGUUUCUUCGGCAUUUCCUUUCCCGCAAACGCUUUAUUAUUAGUUAGCACCUCCACUAUCUAUCUCGAUAUUUUCAAUAGAAUUGUAUUAAAACCAUAUCCGUUUAAGGGUUGUUUGGUUCCUCAAAAAAACGCGAAAAAAGAACUUUAAUUUGAGAAAAAAGUUUUUUAAUUUUCCGUCUAUUUAGUUUCACCGAAAACUAGAUUUUUUUUUUUUUUUUUGAAAAGAACCAUAUCCGUUUAAGGGUUCUUUGGUUCCUCAAAAAAGCAUGCAAAAAAAAGUUUGAGAAAUUUUUUUUUUUAAUUUUCCAUCUGUUUAGUUUCAUGGAAAACUAGAUUUUUUUUUUUGAAAAGUUUAUUUUCAAAAUUUAUGAAAAACUAGUAUAUUCAUUUCCUAAAAAAUUAAAAAAAUUAAUAAUUUGUGAUGAAAUUUGGAAAAUAAAUUUUCCAAAAAAAACUAAUCUUUUAAAACUAAAUGGACAAAAAACUGAAAAAAGAAAUUUCAUAAAUUUUUUCUAGGAAAAUUUUUUCUCGCUUUUCCAACCAAUCAAGCACCCCUUAGCAUUGGAUAAAGUUGAUAUUUCUUCACAUUUUCUUUUCAGCAAAUGCUUUAUUAUUAGUUAGCACCUCUACUAUCUAUCUCGACUUUCGCAAUAGAAUCUAUUACUAUAUAUAAAAGUAGAACCCUUAAUGAACCCUAUGUGAGAAGCUGGCACGUGGCUUUCUAUAUGUUUGCCACGUGUCAAACUCAAAUAUGUAUAUUUGGUUACGAAUUAUUUGAAAUUAUUGAAAAUCAAUAUCUUUUGCUAUAUUAUUAAAAAUCACCUAUAAUGAAGGAGAAAUUAUUUCAAAGUCACCUAUAAUUAUGUUGAGAUAUUUAAAAAAUUCACGGAUAUUAUGUGGCAAAAAAAUUGACCGGUGCAGAUAUUAUGCGUGAGAAGAAAAAUAUUUAUCUUUAUUUGGGAAUAAAUUACUACUUAGUUAAUUAUUUGAAAUGAUUGAUCGAAAAUUUCUGGACAUAAAAAUAUUAGUAAAAAAGGAUAGAGACAUUUUUGGAAAGAGAAAAAAUUCAAAACUAGUGUUUUUAUAAAAAAAUAAUAUCUUUUACUAUAUUAUUAAAAAUCACAUAUAAUGAAGAAAAUUUUAUUUCAAAGUCACCUAUAAUUAUGUUGAGAUAUUAAAGAAAUUUAUGGAUAUUAUGUUGCAAAAGAAUUGGCGGUGCGGAUAUUACGCGUAAGAAGAAAAAUAUUUAUCUUUAUUUAGGAAUAAAUUAUUACUUAGUUAAUUAUUUAAAAUGAUUGGUUGAAAAUUUCUGGACAUAAAAAUAUUAGUAAAAAAGGAUAGAGGCAUUUUUGGAAAGAGGAAAAAAUUUAAAACUCACAUCACUCCUGUAAUUUUCUUCGCUCUUAAAUAUUGAUGCUUUAAAAUAGAACAUAUUAUUUCCCUACUGUCACUUCUGUAAUUUUCAUUUCGUAAUUUUUUUCCCUUCUGUCACUCAUGUAACUUUUUAUCUUCAUUCAACAAAAUUUUUUUUCUUUAUAUUUUCUUGAAAACCAACAUCUAUAUAUUUUUGAAUCUUAAAAGCGACAAUAGGAACAUAAUAUAUGUAUGCUUACUCUAAUUUGUGUCAAAUAUAAAAGUUUAGUUGAUCUCAUUAUAUGCUUAAAUAUUAAUGCCAUUUAUAAUUUUUCAUAUCAAUUUUAGUUAUCAUUUUAUUUCGCACAUCAAUAUGUAAAUGUAAAUUGUUUUGUAUACCAAUUCAUAAAUAAUAGAGCAGAAUUGAAUUUUGCAUUUUAGUUGAAUAUUUACUUUGGUCCAUUUUUUUUUUCUCUAGCUUGUGUACUUUAAUAUGUACUAUAAUUAAGAUUGAUAGUAUAUUUUUUUAUUUAUUAAAAAAUAUAAAAUUAAUUAGAAAAUCUCUUUGUUAUUAUCACAUAAUAAUUUUUAUUAUUCUAUAUUAUUAUAUUAGCCGUGCAUCGCACGGGUGAAAAUCUAGUUAUAUUCAAAAUCAUAUCCGUUUAAUGGUUGUUUGGUCCUCGAAAAAAUGUGAAAAAUUUUUUUGAAAAAAAAAUAUUUUUUUUUUUUUCAAUUUCCAUCUGUUUGAUUUCGAAAAACAACCAGAUUUUUUGAAAAAAAAAAAUCCAAAUUUUAUGGAAAAACCAGCAUUUUUAUUUUUCUAAAGAAUGCAAAAAAUAAAAAUAUUUAAUUUGCAAUGAAAUUUUAAAAAUAAAAUUUAAAAAUUAAUUUUUUAAAACUAUACGAACGAAAAAUUGAAAAUAAAAAAAAAAAGCACAAAAGAAAUUUUCUCAAAAUUUUUUUUUUUUUUUGAUUAAACAGGGGAAUACCCUAUUUGAAACUUGGAACAAAGUAACAGAAGUUGUAAAGAAAUGCAAAAGAGCAAAAUAACAGGCCACAUAGAGAUAACAAAACAAUCAGGAGAACAACAUUAUGGUGUGGCUGCUGCAUAACUGCAAAAGUGUGGACUGCCACAGCACAAGCAGAACAACAUUUUGCUGCAUAACUGCAAAAAUUUUUUUUCAAAUUUUUUUUUUUUUUCAUGCUUUUCGGACCAACCAAGCAGCCCUUACCAUCAAGACGAAUUCGGCGCUUCUUCCGAAUGCAGUACCCUUUCAACAAACGCCGUAGCAUUAAUUAGCACCAACCACUCUCGCUCUUCGUUUUCAAUAGAAUUGUACAAUUCCUUCCAGAUUCCAGAUCAGCAAACGCUUUAGCAUUAAUUGGCACCUACCGCUCUCUAUCUCUUUGUUUUGCAAUAGAAUUCUAUUCCUUCCACGUUUCUUUAUCAUUAGUUGGAUCCUCCUCUAUCUAUCUCCCUAUUGCUAGUUUCUCCAUCAUUUCUCUCUUCUCUUAUCUUUCUUUAAGGCUGCCAGGCAAUGCAUGGUGGAUAUCUACAUGAUCACUAGUUAGCUUGAGAAGACACUGGAGGAAGAAGAAAGAGAAGACGGCAGCUGCUGCCGUUUGCUGCCACCGCGACGCGACGGCUGUUGCCAUUGGAGGAAGAAGAAGGAAACCAUGGCUAUCGCUACGGGUCUGGUUGGUUUCGAUAAAACUUAAUAGCAGAUUACUGCACAUAUAAGAUUAUCAUAUUUGGUCAGUAGAUUUCAAUAAUGCUAAUAAUAAAAUUUAUACUAUUUUAAAAAUAUUCUUACACUAUAUUCAUUUAAAUAUCAAACUUUAAUUGUAAAUUCAAGGUCUAGAUUUGAAUUUGAAUUUUAGAUUCAAGUUCUGAUUUUCAAUCCAAAGUUCGAUUUCAAUUUUUAAUUCGAAAUCGGAUUUUGUUUUCAAGAUUCUAAUUUUGGAUUCGAAAAGGAAAUUUAAAUAAAGUUUCUAAAAUCAAAUUUCAACUUUCAAAUUUAAAUUUAAAUAAUUUAAAUUUAUUAAAAUUUUAAAUGCAAAUUUAGAUUUUGAAUUUAUAUUUCAGUUCGACUUCAUACUUUUAAUCCAAAUUUAGAAUUGGAGUUCAUAUUUUAUACACAAAUUCAAAUUUAGAAUUUAAAUUUAAAUUAUUUAAGUUUUAAAAUCAAAUUUAAAAUUCAAAUUUAGAUUGGAAUUCAAAUUUUAACUUCAAAUUGAAAAUUUAAAUUUGGAAUUAAAAAACUUAAAUAUUUCAAUUAAAUGAGAAAUUAAUAUUUAAAUUAAAAUUUUAGUCAAUUGGUGGUUGGGUAGGGGCCACUUUGAAAAUUUUCAUAAAUUACAGAAUUAACAACAAUCAGUAACAUAGGACAUCUAUCCCCUCAUCGGUAAUAUUUUGUAAGUAAUCUUACGCUGUCAGUAAGUCUAUAAUUGACAAAAUUACAUACCAGGUGAAUCAAACACAAUAAUUUGAAAAGAUUCAUACAUAAUUUUCGAUAAUCCUGGUAGGAUAGUACAAACCAAACAGGGUCAUUAUAGGCCAAGCUCUGACUGAGUCAAGUUCGGAAUGAUAGGCCAAGCUCUGGGAAUAAUUGGCUAAAUUAGGACAAGUGAGACAACUCUUAAAUCUUCUAGUGAUCUUGGGCUCUGUAUGUAAUUGGGUUGACGACAACGUCAAGGUUUAAGCGGGGGGAGUCAGUCUGUGACAUCCCAACAAUUUUACAUCGGAUAGGAAGAGAGUUAUGAUUGAGUAUAUAAAAGACUAUGAAACCUAUAAAUAAAAAUUGGGAUUAAGCAUUUUAGGUCGGUGGUUUGAGCCUAACGAGUUAUUAUUGCUAAUAGAUCGUGUCAUUAUAAUUUUGGAAAAGUAAUUUUUGCAGAACUAAUUUUAGUUUUGGGAAUUGAUUUUUGUUAAAAGUUAUAGAGUGUUUAAGUGAGUGUUUAGAGGAAAACUUAUUUUUUCUGAAGUGAUUUUGUAAAGCUGUUUGACAAAAAAAAAAUUUACUAUUUGCAAAUAAUAAUUUUUUUAAAGAAUUUUAUUUUAAAAUAAUUGAGAGUUUGAAUUUAAAUUUACUAUUUUAAAUUUUAAAUUUGCAUAAAAUUUAAACAUUUUAAAUUUUAAUUUGAAAUAUGAAAUUUAUAAUUUAUAAUUUUCGCCCGGCCGUUUUACACCCCUAUUUGAACCAUUGAAUUUAGGGCAUGUUUGGUUCACCUAUUUUAGAUUAUGGAAUCGGAAUGUAAUUCAUUGAUUCCGAUAGUUGCCUGUUUGUUUUAUAGGAAUCAGAUUUUUCAUUUAUGAUCCAAUCCGGCUUUCGAUCCUGGAUUGACUCAUUUCAAAGUAAAUUAUUCAAAAUUCUCUUUCAUCACUACCUACCUCAUCUCCUUUCAUCACUUUUCUCUCUCUUAAUCAAAACCCUCUCUCAAAAAUUUUGAAUUUUCAUUCCGAUUUCUAUUCCAAUAAUGAACCAAAUAUUUUUGGAUGAUUCGUCAUUCCAUUUUCCAUUCCAAAGCAAUUCAAUUUUAUUUCUCAUUUUUAUUUCAAUCAUGAACCAAACAUGCCCUUAUAGUUUCAGAACGUUGACUCAAGGACUUUAUUCAUAAAACGAAUAUGACUUUCUCGUUUU
Molecule: long non-coding RNA, 30736 nt
Filed under: Ananas comosus (pineapple)
Lineage: Eukaryota; Viridiplantae; Streptophyta; Magnoliopsida; Poales; Bromeliaceae
Description: long non-coding RNA (ACOM_LNC011724)
Source: RNAcentral